UCAACUUUUAAGCACAAAUAACAAACAAACAAGCCUAGGCUCUGAUACCACUGAUGGGUUUUGAGCAUUCUAACACUUCCUAAGUGUACAUGCAACCCUAAUAACCUUGGAUCUAUGUUUGUCUAAUUAUCAUGCAAAGUUGAAUUCCAAGGUUAUAUUCCUAUCUAGCAUACAUGGGGAACAAUUUAACUUGAAUCAUAGAUAGAAUAACUUACCUUGUUGUUGCUUGUGUUCCUUGAAACCUUGUGAGCCUAGCACCCCAAGUGUGAUGCCUCAAAUGCUUCACACAACACCAAAUGCUCUUGGAAAGACUCUUGAGAUAACACACACUUCUCAAAAUUGGCCAAGCCCUCUAGUUUCUUAUGUCUAGCCUUGUGUAGCCAAUUUUGUGGAGAAUGGGACUCUUAUAUAGUGUUGGCACAUCUAGGGUUACACCAUGUAAACCCUAAUGUGUCAUGACUCUUCAUUUCCAUGACCCAUGGGUUUGUAACUCCCAUGGAGCAUCCAUGGAGCAUCCUAUGGGUAGAACCCAACUUGAUAAUCCAUGGAGCCUUUUAGCCCACUAUACAAGAUAUGGAUGAUUUACAUAAUCAACCCAUAUAUUUAAUUAGUUAACCUUUGAUCACUUAAUUAAUUCCAAAUUAAUUCUUGAUCAAACUAAUCAAAUAAUAUUAUUAAUAUAUUAGAACUUAUAAUAUAUUAAUAAUCUCCAAGUGUUAUUUCUCUCAUUUAGUCUAACCAAUUGCAUGGUGCCAUGCAACCCAAAUGGACCAUGCCGGGUCGGGUCAAGUACAAGCCCAAAAUAGUUAUGGACUUAGACACCUUAUCCAACACAAAUUACAUACGACGUUCAUAUACCGCUCGAUUGUAGGGAGACCUGUCCGGGAUCAUGAUAUCAAGUAUCAUUACUAGUUAUCGAAACACAUGUUAUCUAAAGAGAUACUGUUGUCACCAUUCAAUUUCAAUUGGUAUAGUCCUCAUCUUCCCAGUUUAACGACUACGAAAGGACCCUUCACCUAACCCAUCGAAUGUCGAAACCUUCGUCUCUCAUAAACAUCCAGCACGAACCUCCGGGUCAUCUCUCAAUGUGAAACCCCCAAAACACGCACCAGAGGAGUGUUAUACCUCCCGAAACCUUAUCACAAGUAUUUCCAAGAGACCUUUCGGGAAUGUCAUGCAUACAACAGACAAGGUUCAAGCACAGAAUCUUGGGACGGAUACGGUUAGUCUACCACUACUACGUGUAUACGCGAGGAUAAUGUAUAAUUAAGAUUCUAUGGGCAUUGGAUGUGUGAUUCCGCCCUAUUUCCUGUUCCAUGUCUGGUUGUGGACUUGGGGCAGAGUCACCCAUCCAACUGUCUUGCAAAUCUUAAGCACAUACGACCUAUAUGUGCAAGUUAAUGAUAGAUGGACCAGGUACGAGUCCUGCCAUGAGCUUCAGGCCAAGGUUGCCCAGGAGGACGAGUGAAUAUCCUACCAUCCGAAAACAUCUAGUUGCAAAAACCAAACCCACAUGCUUCCUACCGAGCUACAAGAACUGUCAGGACAAACCUAUCGAACUAAUCAACAAUGGAAUUGAAGAACCAAGCCCCUCACCAUGGAGAGCUCCGAUAUUUUUCUUCAAAUAGAAAGGCAAAUUGCUCGUAGAUCCAUCGACCUCUAAGGCCCCAACAAUAUCUCCAGUAGAAACCUUUACUAUCUGCCUCGCAUAGACGAAUAGGCCGACCAACCGCAAGGAACGAGGUACCCUUCAGGAAUUUGACCAAGAUCCGAAUAUCACCAGUCGCGAGUAUUGGAGAAGGAUGUCCGAGGACAAUCCUCCAAAUUCGAUGCGAAUGCUGCAAGUCCAUAGUGAUACCCCUCGGAUAGGACCAACCCGCUCGCAGCCUUCAGGAACUUAAUGAAUAGGGUACGCCAUUCUUACUAGGAUCAAUUCAUCAUUGUCCUUCAAAAUGACUUCCUUAUCUAUCCUAGUAGUAAGAAGAGAACCAAAAAAAACAGCUACAACAUACCGUGGGAACAAUUCGAUCAGAGAAGCCUUACCUGAAGUUCUAUAGAUAUGAGUUUUGGAAUUGAAGAGUCCAAUUCCUAAGACACACUAUUAUUGAUGUGGAAAUUCUUGAGGACCCUUUAAAUUAAUCAAAACCGUUGAGAAACUCUGACCCGGAAGGGAGCAACCUUUUUUUGGGAAGAGAAGCAAGAGAGGGAAACCUUUACAACUCCAGAGUAAGAGACCAAAUUCCUCUGGAAUCCUCACUCUGGGAAGGCUUAGUACGCUUCGGGAAGCAUGGAAAGCUAAGACCCAGGAUAAUUAGGCCCUUCGAGAUUCUUUUCAGAAUAUGCCCUGUAACUCGCUACUUCAAUCUACUCCCGCGAGCUUGAUAAAGUACAUUCUACCGGACACGUCUCGAACUUGCAGAAGUAUCUAUCCGACGAGACUCUUGUAAUCCCCAUUGACAAGAUCGGUUUUCACAAGACCCUCACCUUCGUGGAAUAACCGUAGUGACCAUGGACCGAAAGGUCAAGCAGACGAAGCAACACAGUUUCCUAUUAGUGAAGGUUCACUGGAAUACUAACCAAGGACCUGGAUUCACUUAGGAGCUCGAGAAUCAGUCGAUUAGGAAGUAUCCCCACUUCUUGGCUUGAUUAUUCAUGCCUACUCCUUGCCUAAAUUCAAAUUUUGGGAUGAAAUUCCCUCUAACGGGGGGAUGAUGUGACAACCUUCAAUUUCCGGUCAAGUCAAAGUCAACUAAAGUCAACAAGUCAAACCGAUCGACUCAACUAACCCUCGUGUACUAGGGCUUACGUUAUGUAAUUACUAAACAACUCGCUAUUCUAAGGAGAGAUCAUAAAUCGAAAGUUCGUACAUCUAGAUUUCCUUAACCUAAAACUGUGGAAAGUAACGAACCAAACCAAUAAAACAUUGUUGCAUACUCAUUGGGAGUGUGUAAAAUCCUUAAACAUGACAUAAUGGGGCUUACGGACCUUGCGUUGCGAAGCCGGACACUCACAAUUGUCACACAUGAAACCUCUCUCCAUCGUUUUCACUCUAUCCCUUUAUAUGAGAAACCUCUCCAAGAAUGUGAAAUCUCUCCCAAUUCUCUGUUUGUAUGAGAAAUCUCUCCAAGAAUGUGGAAUCUCUCCCAAAUCUCUCUCUAUAUGUGAAAUCUCUCCUAAAUCUCUCUUUGUAUGAGAAACCUCUCCAAGAAUCUGAAAUCUCUCCUAAAUCUCUCUUCGUAUGAGAAAUCUCUCCAAGAGUGUGGAAUCUCUCCCAAAUCUCUCUCCAAAUGUGAAAUCUCUCCCAAAUCUCUCUUUGUAUGAGAAAUCUCUCCAAGAAUGUGGAAUCUCUCCUAAAUCUCUCUCCAUAUGUUAAAUCUCUCCCAAAUCUCUCUUUGUAUGAGAAAUCUCUCCAAGAUUGUAAAAUCUCUCCAAAAUCUCUCUUCGAAUCUCUCUCAAACUUUUUAUGCACUUUUGGGGCAUUCCGACACUCUACUUGGUGAAAAACCACUUGAAAAGGGAAAAUUCAUUGGAAAUAAGCCUCUUAGGGUCGAAGCCUCUCUAUAGGGGCCAUACCCUUCUAGAACCGAGGUCAAAGGGGGAGGACCGGAGUCCCCAUGAGUAGCCAUCUGAAGCCACAGCCAAGGAGACCGUAGUCAGCGAGCCGCAGCAAGCCGACCGCAGUCAGCGAGCCGCAGCAAGCCGACCGNCGCAGCCAGCGAGCCGCAGCGCCGAAUCCAGAACCAAGGCCCCCCGCAGCGAGCUUCUCUUCGGACCGCAGUCCCUUCCCUUCGGAUUCACUUCAGCGACCAAGCCAUCCCUCCGGUUCUAAAGCUACUGAGACCGAGACCCCCCUCCUGACAUCGGAUUUCACCAUUUUUCACCCGGUUUUCGAUCAUUUCUCCGUUUUAAGCCCGUUUUUAAUUAUUUUAACGCGAGAUUUUCUCCAGAAAUCAUAUUUUAACAUAUAAGACCCUAAAUAUUCAUAAUUUAAUCAUUUUUUUAUGAAAAUAUUUAUUUAAGAAUAAAAUCUAGUGAGUGAAUAUUUAAGGUGGAGUGUUGACUUAUCUUUGAUUUAUGACACAAGCAACCACCACACCCACUCAAAGACUAACCCACACACCUCCCCACCAUCCCUAGUCACUUCAUAGUCCUCUCCCACUCAAUUUUCAGCCUCUCCCACAUUUUAGAGCUGGAACAACUCUCUCACACACACUCUCUCUCUCCUCAUUCUCACUCACUUCUCUCAUUUCUACCAAAGAUCAAACCCACUUUUUUCUCAAAUUCUAUCCCUCAAAUUCAAGAUUCAAGGGCUGAUCAUCAAGUUUUCUCUCAUUUUUGGUAAGAUUUAUCACCUUUCUCAUGAUUAAUACAUUUCCUUGUACUUAUAUCAUUGAUUCUUACACAAAUUUCCAUCAUAAAUUGUGCUAGAUUCUUAGAUCUUCAAGCAAUCUUCAAGUGUUCUUGAGUUGAACACUUCUCAUCUCCAACACUCAUCUUCUGAAAUCACAUAAAGUGAGUUCAUACCCCCUACAUUUUCAUGUUUUCUCAAGUUUUUAGGGGGGGGGGGGGGGNNNNNNNNNNNNNGGGGGAAUACAAGUUAAAACACCAAGAACAUAACUAAAUUUUUCUAACAGCUUUCAUCAGAAAAGUUAGGCUCCAUUCACGGACUGUUUUGGACAACUUAAACAUUUUUGUUUUCAAAAAUGUUUUAGUUGUAAGUAGUUCCAUUUCUUAGAUUUAAAAUGACUACUUGCACAUCUCCAUACGAUUUUUCUACAAUUUAUGGUGAUUUUUACAAAACUGCCUAUCAUAUUAAACAUCAAUCCGGACCAGUCUGUGAUUAUGGACUUUUUCACCCACGUUUGAGGCCAUUAAAAAUCAUGAUAAAAAUUAUGAGUAAACUAGACACAUUUUGGGAACUCUUUGAAUUUACGGAUUUAGUUUUCGACUUCGUAUGCUUUUUCUACGACUUUUCUAAAACAGCAUAGAAAGGUUAAUAAUUAGUUAACAGCUUAUAACUUUAAUAACAGUUUGUAUUAUGUUGAGCAAAGUGUAUAACAAUAAGUUUUAAAUAUUGAAUGUGUUUCCUUGUUAGUUUAUCAUCAUAAACUGAAACCUAGUCAUUCAUGAUAAGAAUAUUCAUUUAUUUAGAAACGUAUAUUAAGCUAUAGAAAGCAUAGCUUAUGAAUUGAUAACACAAAUGCGUUUUCAUAAAAGAGUUCUUAUACAUUACAAACGUUUUGGAUAAACUAUAAUAGGUAUGGUUUAUGUUUCCAUUAACACAAAAAUCACAUUUCGGAAGGUUUUAUUCCCACAAAAAAAAGGUUUCACACUCACGCACACCACACGUAAACUUUUUAACCUAAAUUGUGAGACAAUCUCUUUUCGUACGUCCGUGUGCGGGAUCUAAAUUCCUGGUAGUUAUAAUCAGAGUCUCCUUGAGGGAGAACGUGAUAGUUGUGUAUAGAUCUAUAUUGGGUUUGACACCCCACACCUGAACUGCGUGCAAUAGCUAGACCGGCAGGUCUGUGGUGACCAGUGUCAUUUUAGUUUCGCGACGCCUGAGAAACGUCGUGGCAGGUUCAUUCAGUCAUUAGUGUGGUUAUAUCGGCUCACAUAGGGAUUUAACAACAUAAAGUUUACGGGUAUUUUCAAAAUCAAAAGGGGUUUUAUGUCGAUUUAAAAUCACUUUUUAUAUCAAUAAUUACAGAUAUUAUGGUAUAUUUUUCAGUCUUGGUAUUUAAGACUACACAUCAUUCAUUACGGCAUUUUACUCAAAUCAGAAAGGGUUUUACGCCAAUUUAAAACCACAUUUAUAUCUUUAAGUAUGACAAAUACUUGUUCAUUUUCGGUCCUGGUAUUUAGCACCACAUAACUUUUAUAAGGAAAAUAUUGUAUUUUUCUUGGUAACAUACAUCUCUUUACAAGAUCGAUUUUCAAACUCUUACUGUCAAAAGCUUAUGAACUCACCAACCUUUGUGUUGACACUUUUCAAAACUACUUAUUCUCAGGAAUUCAUUGUAACAGGAAAUCAACAGUGUUUUGUGGAUGGGACGAUAAAUCGUUAAACAGUUCAUUUUGUAUCAUAAUGUAAUUGAUUUGAAUCAUGUAAACAUAUACUUUGGUGUAACUUUUUCAAUUAUAUUUAUGAUGGUUGUAUUUACUUUGAGCACUAUUAUACACGUUGUUGUGAUACUAUACAUGAAGUCCUCCACCCCCGGACGUUUCCGCUAUCCUUGGUUUGGGGGUGUGACACAAGAGUUUCAGGGAGUAAAGUGUAAAUUAAUUCAGCGACUCGACGAGUAGGUCCUCUUACUCGCCGAGUCUGAGCGGGAUUUUGUUACGGGUUAAGUGGCCAACUCGCUAAGUCGACAGAUGGACUCGACGAGUUCGUUCUGAAAUGAGAAACCCCUAAUCCCGGAAGUUGUGCCCUAUAUAAAGCACAUUAUAGCCACCCUCAGCCUCUUUACUGCCCAUUUGAGUUCCAAAAACCCUAAUUAAUGUGUGUGAGCCUCCAUUGUUAAAGUUUGAGUUUGGAAGAAGAAGUUAAGAGGAGAAAGUUAGAAGAUCAAGAGUCUAGCAUCGGCAGAUCAUUGUAGAUCCGAAAUCUACUCCUUCUUGGGCACAUUUAUGAGGUAACAAGUCGUUACCUUGAGUUUUCUCCUUUUAGAUCCAUUCUUCCUUGUUGUUUUGGGAAUUUUAGCUUGAUUGGAAUCCGUUUCGGGUUUAAAGGCUAGAUCUGAAGUUGCAACUUCAGAUCUAGGUUAAUAGUGAGCUAUAAAAGCUUAAAGCAUUAGCCAUAGGGUUUGAUUUAGAGUAUCUUUGUCCUAAAAACCUCCUUAUAGCUUGAUUGGUGCUUGUUGAGUCUUGCAUGCACGUAAAGUUGGAAAAUUUACGUGUGAAUCUGGCCCUAGGAGUCCAUAUCUAUGUAUUGGAAGCAAUGAAAUGGCCUGAAAUCGUCUGAAUGAAGAUGUCACGUUUGGACUCGGCGAUUUGGAAGAACAACUCGGCGGGGCUGUUGAUGAUUGCCUUGGACUCAGCGAGUCUGUUCUUGGACUCGGUGAGUUUGGCCGUGGAACCCUAACCUUUUUCUGGUUAAGCAUCGAAUCGGUGAGUUGAGGGACGACUCGGUGAGUUAAGUAGGAUGUGACUCUGAGAUUAUUGGACCCGACGAGUCUUGGGGCGACUCGGCGAGUUGAGUCGUAUUAUGGGAGUUUCUGAGGAUACGAACUCGACGAGUCAACGGGUUGACUCGUCGAGUAGGGUCAACUAGGAAGGUUGACUUUGACUGAGGACUUUGACUUUGACCAAGGGUUGACCAGCUUGACUUCCAAGGGUAUUUUGGUAAUUAUUGGUAAUUAUUGGAUUUGGUUAAUUGGUAGAGUUCAGUUGUGGAGUUCGUGUCGAUGGUCGGAGUAGCGUGAUCUUAUCUCUUCAGUCAGCUAUAGCAGGUGAGUUAUCCUCACUAUAUCGACAGGGUCUAAGGCACCAAGGUCGACCCUUUAUUGGAUGGGAAUCCGGGUAGUUCUUUGUUGUGUUAUUGCUUUGCUAUGUCUGUAUCCUGGUAGUUAGGAUAGUAUAUGUUUGAGACCUGGUUAACGUUAGUAUCCUGGUAUAUAGGAUGAUGUUAUGUUAGUGACCGGUUAGGUCGGUAUCCUGGUUAGGAUGUUGCUAUGUUAUGUGAUCUGCUAGAUCGGUUGAUUAGUUGUGAAUUGUUAUAUGAUUAUAUGUUUAUGUGCACAUAGUUGUGGGACUAGGGUUGGGUUGCGGCGGGUCCUGCUUUUUGCUGUAGGCCAACAUACCCAGGUCGAACCGGUUAGACCGAAGGCCCGACAAGCGGUCCGGAUAGGCUGAAGGCCCCAAGAGGGCGGACCAGACGUGUCGAGGCUUGGAGAGUGGACCAGACAGACUGAAGGCCUGAUACGGGUGGACCGGCCAUACUGCAGACUCAGAGAGAGAGUGGACCGGGUGGACUGAAGGCCUGGUGUAGGCGGAGCAGUCACACUGUAGACUCGAUAUGCAUGAUUGUUCCGUUUAUGAUAUGAUAUGUGUAUGGUAUUGUGGUUGGUAUUUUGGGGGUAACUCACUAAGCUUCCAGGCUUACAGUUCAAUGUUUUGUUUCUGGCAGUUCAAGAGAUCAUGCCAAGGCGAAGGCGUGAUCGUACCGCUCCUCAUGUUUUAUGAUUUAUGUGAUAUGGUUCUGGGGAAUACUCUGAUGUUAAAACUAUUUUGAAAACGAAUGUACAAACUUAAUGGUUUUUCAAUGAAUUAAAAUGUUUUAAUUUGGCUCGAAUUUUAUGGGUGUUACAAGUUGGUAUCAGAGCCUUGGUUUGAGUGAAUUGGAGGAACAUUCGUGUGAAUCCAGUCUCAAAUCAAGGAGAGUUUUCAAAGUGAAAUUAAAAUGGUUUUCAAAAAAUGAGUAUAGGAGGAUGCGGAGGUACGCUCAUCCAGAGCCAGUAAGUAGACCCCAAAAUACCAUACAAGUUAAUUGAUUAUGUCAUAUGUUAGAACAGUAUGCUAGUACUAGGCUAGGGAUCUUCAGGAAUUUGCAUGAUAGAAUUGCCUGAUUAUAUGAUGCCUGCUAGCCUAGGGUUUCCUUGUAUGAAAUUGACAUCAUUAUUGUAGUUAUUUAGUGUAUGCAUCACGACCAUAUAUAAUUAAGAUCUCAUAGCCUGAGAAUGUUUGAUUUGUCCUUAUGUUCUGUUCUUGUUUGAUUGGGAGCUUAGGGUAGGAUUGGAUAUUCAAAAGUCUAUGGGGUCCAACGUUAUGUAUGGCUAGCAUACACUAGUGUUGCAGGGUUGGUGGAAAUUUCAUGGAUGGGUGGGUUGCGUGAGACCGGUAGGUCGGUUAUGGGAUUGUGGUGCUCCUCUAGGAGUGGGGAUCGAGUGUUUGUUAUGUAUAUGCUAUUGAUAUGGUGUUAUGGUAAUACUUGAUAAAAUAUGGGUAGGUGUGGAAGGUAGUAUGGGCCCGUACUACUGAAAGCACAGGACCCAUACGCGUAUCAAGGAAGUCACAACCCCUAGGGUUUUGUUGGGAGCUAACUCUCGAGAUUAUUAUAAGGAAUGCCUAAUAUUCUUGUGGUGUAUUUUCAGUAUGGCGAUUAUGAGACGUCUCGGGGUAGGAUCCGGUUCGGGAUCGGGAUCAGGAGAGGGUGGUCAGGAUGGACCAGGACUACCCGAGGUCAUUGCUCAGAUGUGUACGGACGAGUUGGAUGCCAGGAUUUGUGAGAUCCUGCAUGAUGAGGUUGUUGUUAUAUUCUGGGCUGAGAUGUCGGAGAUGUUUGGGUCGAUCAAUACCGCCAUGGUUGAGUACUUUGAUGAGCGUUGUGCAGCUCUGACUGAGGCGGCUAUCGCGGCAGCUACAGCGGCUGUAACAGCGGCAGGGGGAGGAGCCGGUCGAGGGUUUCAGUAUCGGGACUUCAAUAAUACGAAGCCCCUUACUUUUGAUGGAGUUCAGAAUCCAAUCGUUGCUAUGAGAUGGUUGUCAGACGUGGAGGGUUGUUUCUUCAUGUGUUCAUUCCCUACAGAUCAGAGGGUGAGGUGUGCUCUGAACCUUUUGAGGCUCAGGGUGAAGGAUUGGUGGAGGUUGACUACGAGAUCUUAUUCGGAUGCGCAGCGGGCUGCAGUUACUUGGGAUCAAUUCCGGGAGAUGUUCAGCACUCGUUAUGUUCCAUGGGUUGAGAGAGAGAGAGAGAGGUUGGAUCAGGAGUUCCUAUGGUUGAAGCAGGAUUCAGAUUCGGUGACGGAGAUCACCAGGAUGUUCACUGAGAGGGCAAUGUUUUGCCAGAGUUUGCUUCGGAUCAGGCUCAGAUGUCCCGAUAUCUGAGUAUGCUCAAGAGGGACAUCUAGCAGUUUCUAUCCACGCAGAGGUGUGAUACCUUGUUAGAGCUAUAAGAGGCCGCCAGGCAGCGUGAGUUAGAGAUGGAUUUGCAGUUACCAGAGCGGAGGCUGGCCCCGGUGCAGUCACAACUGGUGCCGAAACGGUCGAAUACUGUUGACUCUAGGAUUGGAGGUCAGAUCAGUCACACUUGUGAGAAGUGAGGGAAGCGUCAUGCCGGAGUUUGUAGGCCCGGCGGUGCGUGUCGCAAGUGUGGGAAAGAGGGGCAUUAUGUGAGGGAUUGUUGACAGUCGGUCUCGACUCAGGAUAUGUGGAUUUGUUAUCAUUGUCAUCAAGUUGGACACUUGAGGGUCAACUGUCCACAGCUUGUUUCCAGAUCGGUGCAGGUUCCAGCACCGUCUUCUAUGAGGAUUACUGGCGGGGGUCAGGGUGGAGAGGAGCCUCCGAGGGCUCAGGGGCACGCUUUUUAGCUCAUAACAGAGGAGGUCAGGGCAGAGCCGAAUGCGGUUGCGGGUAUGUUUUCGUUUCGUUGUUGUCUGGUUAUCUGCUUAUUUAUGUAGUGUUGUAUUUUAUUCGCCGUUCUGCGUGUUUCAUGGUUUGGUUGGGAGUGUUAGUAACUAGGAGUUGUAAGCAGUUAGCAUCCAAGGGAUUGAUGGUCAGAAUUUGGUUGUAUGGUCUUGUUGUCGGGCAUAGCAAUUGCGAUUUGAGAAGUGUUCAGCAGAGAGUCGAAAUCCCUUAGAGUUUGUGUUGUGUGAUGCCGGGAAGUGAUUUUGGUGGAGGUUGCUAGUUUCAGAGGAAAUCAGUUCAUAGAUAAGAGGAGUAUGUUGAGUAGGGAUGAUUGAUUUAUGCCGGUUUAGUCAUCGAUGGUUGGUAGUGAGUGCUCUAAGUGGGGAGAAUUGGAAAAUUCUCAGGAGGAUCGACAAGCAUUAGAGGUUGAUUAGCUGUUUGGGAUUCAACAGUGUUUCAGUUAGCCAAGAGUGUGGGCUGGUAUGAGUAAGUGACAGGCAAAUGGGGCGGGGUACAGACCAAGGUUUUCGGAAAAGGUGAUUGGUUUUUGUGAGGCCUAGGAUUAGGCCGAGAUCUGAGUAUAUGGAAUAGAGUUAGAGUUCGGAACCCCUAGCGGGCUAAAACAGUAUGUACGAUAGAGAUUCCCAGGAAGGAUAGUUCAGGAUGAUGUAUGAUAGUUUGAGCGGUCUGGGGAGACUGUCACAACUAGAAAUUUUGUGUCUUGUAAUCACUACACUCAAGUAAAAUGUAGAAUCCAAAAACUUAAAAGCAUGUAUGAUACUUACUCUAUGACAACAGAAUUUCAAUCAAAUACACCAUACAAGUGCUACAAAUAGUCAAUAAGCAAUUGGAAACCCUAGAGCUUCUUGUUAAGUCCACUUUGGACUAGGACUUCCUUAUUGGACCCAUUAGGCCAAUAAGCCUCCAAUUUGACUAUCAUGAGAUUAGAACCUUUAAAUGGGCUCUAAUUGGACCCACAUUUAUUUAUUUCAACAUUUACGGCCAUAUUGGGCCUAGAAUGAAAUAAAUUAAAUAUUAUGAAUCAUAAUUAACUCAAACUAGCCCAACAAAGUGUAAAAAUCAUAUUAUAUUUUUGUUUGGGCCAAAAAUCAUCCAAACUAACUAUAAUAUAGGCUUAGGGGCAUUAAAGCCCAAUGAUCUCCUUCCCUUCCAAAUUCUCGGCCCAAAGCCCAAAUCCAAGAAGAAAGGAGUUGACCUAAUCCUUGCCACCUCACUUAUAUCCCACAUAUCUCCAUGCAUGGACCAACAUGCAUCUAGGAUUGUCAACUCACCUCUCUCUCUUCUCUUCUUCUUGACUUCGGCCGAAAGCACCCACACACACACACACUUCAUCACUUUUCACACAUCAAACACUCUCAAAAACACCUUCACCUCUCUUCACUAAAUUUUCGAAGAUUCAAGGGCAUUUCAAGGAGAUUUUUCACAAGAAUCACCAUCCAAGGUAAGGUUAUACUUAAAUCUAUGAUCUAAGUUCCUUGAUCUAUCAAAAAUCUCUUCCUAAUCCAUGCAAAAAUCAUGAUCUUGCAUCCUAGAAACACCUCAAGGCCAAGACCUUCAUCCAGGUGUGCUAGGAGCCGAAAAUCACCUCAUUUUCUUACAUCUUUUCUCCAAAACCGAAACCACACCCAAAGGUGAGCUUCAUACCCCCUAUUUUUCGGUUUUUACAAGGUUUGUGGGGGGGGAAUACAAGCAAAUGUGUAGAUCUAUGAUUAUAUGUGUGCUUUGUAUGAUUUCUAUGCUUAUUUACAUGUUUAUAUGUGAUUAUGGUGUUGAAACUAGUCAAAAAGCCCUAAAAAUCGAGAUUUGCAUUAGGAUGUAUGAAACAAGUGUUAAACAUAUUAUUACACACAAAUCAUUUCUAGAGAAAUAACCAACUUGGUUGACAUGAACUCAUUGGGCUAAAAAUCCUAUUUUUGGACUCAAAAUGCUAAAAAUAGGAAGUUAAAGGGCCCAAAGUGUCAAAAUACAAAUUCUGAUGGAUGAAAUGAGUCAAAACAGUUUCAUUAAGGUAUUUUCUGGAAAUGUUCUCUUUAGAAGGAUUAAAAUGUAAAUUUUUAAGCAUAAUGGGCCAAAAAUGAAUUUUCCGGCCCAAUAAAGCCCAAUAUGCGAGAUUUUCAAAUUAGAGGGGCUGAAAUUGUGAUUUUCUGUAAAACAGGGGACUACUAGUGCUCCAAGUCCAUUUCAAGGGUUAGAAAUGCUUUUCAUAUUUAAAAGGGACCAAAAAUACAAAAAAUUUCUAUUUUGGGCCAAAAGUGUAAAAACUGUGAAAUUGAGGGUUCUAGCCGAGAAAAAUUUUAUUUGGUGGACUAAAACUGUUUUGCAAAUAAUCUUUGAGCUGAAAAAUAACUUUUCUAUAAGUUUUGAUACUAAAGUGUCAAGAAAAUGGUUUGAGGACUAAAAUAGAAAUUUAUUUUAUACAAAGGGUUAAAUGUGUAAAUUAUCCAAAAGAAAGUGGCUGAAAUAAAGACACAUCCUAAUGUUUUAAAUAAUAAAUCCGUCAUGAAGAAAUAUUAGCAUCUCGACUAUCGGCAAAUUAUAAUACACCUUCAACACCAAAACUCAUUAUCAAACGAAUUGAUUCGGUCUCGAAUCAAUAAUGAAUCCGAAAUUACUAACACGACGAAACUUCAAUACACACGCGGAAAAUUCGGGAAGUCAAUACACACUUGAGAAUACACCAGACGUUGAUACACCGUCUUUGGGNAAAAGUUUCAAAUCGUGCUUGUUGGGCCUAGCUAGCCCAAUGACAUGAUCUUUAGUCCCGAAGGAAACUCGCUUACAUGUAGUUGGGUCUUAUAUGAUCUAAUUUCGUGUAAAAGGACUUUUACAGGCUUUGUGCUGUUGGACCCCAAGGGCCUUCUGGUGCUGCUAGUAAAGUCAAGAAUACACCAAAUGCGAGUCGGACUAAGGGUCCUUCGCAUUCACAAUGGCCUUGAACGACGUAGGGAAAUACUGGGGUUUCGCACCCUCUUCUUUUCCCCUCGGUUGUGGGGCUACAUGAGUCCGGGUGGUUGGGUUAAGUGAAUAGUGCAAACGACGCCUAAGGGAUCGUUUGUACGGUUGUCAACUGGUCGUUUUCAUUAAUGUACGUUUACAACAAUUCACAAUCCAAAACUAAUCCAACGUCUCCGGAGCUCAACGAAUACACCUGUCGUAACGAAGAACAAAACAUAAAUUAUUUAAUGCAAAGUAUUAGGAAAACGUCGGGUUUUCCUAGGGUUUUCAAUUAAUACACCUACGAAUUAAAUACCGAGUUUUACAAAUCGUACUCUUACAUUUAUAGAAACAAACAAGCAUACUUACGGAUCUUCACACUUUUCAUACUAAGUUCUUUUCAGAAAAUAUCGGAUUUUCUGGUGAUUUUCAAAACAAUACAAACCACUAUAUUUCAAACAUUACUUAUGAACUCACCAACAUUUCAUAUGUUGACGUUUUUUUCAAAAUAAUUGUAUUCUCAGGUAACAGGUAAACCAAAGGGAAAAAUGUACUCAGUGAUGUCUUGUUGUUUGUUUAACUAGUAUUGAACAAUCUACUUUUGAGAAUGUAAUGUUUUGAAACUAUGUACUGAAUGUAAACGCAACCAGUUGUAAUAUUCCAAUGCUUGGUAUUGUAUGAUGUUAUGUUUCAUGUAUAUUCAUUGUGAUGGUAUUCAAUUGAGUCACAAUAGCCCUCGAACAUUUUCGUGGUCUGGUUCGGGGGUGUGACAGAGACUAAAGGCCGGUGGGCGUACCAGUCAGGCCAAAGGCGUGGAGAACGGUCCAGACAGGCUGAAGGCCUUGGAGGGCGGUCCAGACAUGCUGAAGGUUCUGAGAGUGGUCCAGAUUGGCUGAAGGCCUGGUAAGGCAUUUCGGUCAUGCUGAAGACUUUGUAUGUGUUGAUAGCUCUAUAUGAGGAGAUGGCUUGAGUAUGUUGUGAUGCAAUAGCAACCAGUAGGUCUGGCCCCGUGUAUUGAUUAUGUUAGUAAAAGGUGGUGUAUGGAAUUCGAUAGCCAUUGUGAUCAGAUUCAGAGUAUAUGUGAUGCAUGGAAUAGCAGUUACUCUACAAGGGAUAGUGUAGAGUGGGGUGUGAGCACCGUGGCACUUGUUGUUGUGGCAAGGUCGUCGAGCAGGUUUCCUUGGAUAAGGAAAGGGAAGGGUAUGUAGCUCCGAGAAGGAGUGUUGGUUCACUGUAGUGGGAGCAGCAGUGUGGAUGGAUGAUUGAAUGUAUUCCAAUUAUGAUUAUUGAGCAUUGUGUUUGUACCAAUGGUAUGGAAGCACAUCCAGGUUGGGUGUCUGUUGAGGUCGCGGAAGGAUUUCCGGUGGUGUAGAACCAGAGGACUUCGGAAGGGAUGCAAGGAUGGAGUCUUGGAUUUUUAGUAGGGUUGUGAUUAGGAGGUUAUCUAUGUUGUGGUAUUUCAUCUGGGGGAUGUCUGGAGGUAUCGUCAGUGUGUCGGGUGUUUCCAGCCCGAGGAUCUUAGAUCAGGUUCAAUAUGUGUAUAUGUUUGUAGAUGGGAGCUCAUAGGAGUUGUUCAGGAGCUGUAGGAUUUAUCAUCCUAUUAGCAUGGAAAGAAAGAGUCGUUUCAAGAAGAAAUCCGGAUGAGUUCCCAGCAGUGCAAUUCAAUAGAAGUAGUGUCGGUUUGGGCAAGGGGUGACGAAUUAGUACCGGGUCAGGACCGGUGGUUUGUAAUGAUAUCUAGUUUCACACGAGGUGAAUGAGUGGGCAAUUUCAGAAAUAAGAAUGUAUCCUCUGGGUGAUCCUGAGUUGAUAAGUGUUGUUAUCAGUAGGAGAAAGUCGGUAGCCGGUUUGGAGCAAUUGUCAGAACUCUACAUAGAAAGAGUUGGAUUCUAUGAGAUUUGAUGGUAGUGUUUGGAGGAAUCUGAGUCAGUUGAGAUCCGAAGUUGCAUUGUGGGAUUAUUAUUUUGGAAUUUUGUGCUGCAGCAGGCUUCGAGGACGAAGCCUAAUUUAAGUGGGGGAGAAUUGUAACUUCCCAAGUCAGAAGCAAGAGUUCCAGGGACUAAAGUGUAAAUUAAGUCAGGGACUCGACGAGUAGGUCCUCUUACUCGCCGAUUCUGAGCGGGGUUUUGUUACGGGUUAAGUGGCCAACUCGCCGAGUCUACAGAUGGACUCGACGAGUUCGUGCUGAAGGGAGAAAAUCCUAAACCCGGAAGUUGUGCCCUAUAUAAAGCACAUUAUAGCCACCCUCAGCCUCUUUAUGCCCAUUUGAGUUCCAGAAACCCUAAUUAGUGUAUGUGAGCCUCCAUUGUUAAAGUUUGAGCUUAGAAGAAGAAUUUAAGAGGAGAAAGUUAGAAGAUCAAGAGGCUAGCAUCGGGAGAUCAUUGUAGAUCCGAAAUCUACUACUUCUUGGGCAUAUAUGGUAACAAGUCGUUACCUUGAGUUUUCUCCUUCUAGAUUCAUUCUUGGUUGUUGUUUUGGGAAUUUUAGCUUGAUUGGAAUCCAUUUCGGGUUUAGAGGUUAGAUUUGAAGUUGCAACUUCAGAUCUAGGUUAAUAGUGAGCUAUGAAAGCUUAAAGCAUCUGCCAUGGGGUUUGAUUAAGAGUAUCUUUGUCCCAAAAACCUCCUUAUAGCUUGAUUGGAGCUUGUUGAGCCUUGCAUGCAUGUAAAGUUGGAAACUUUACGUGUGAAUCUGGGCCUAGGAGUCUUGAUCUAUGUAUUGGAAGCAAUGAAAUGACCUGAAAUCGUCUGAAUGAAGAUGUCACGUUUGGACUCGGCGAGUUGAAAGAACAACUUGGCGAGUCUGUUGAAGAUUGCCUUGGACUCGGCGAGUCUGUUCUUGGACUCAGCGAGUCUGGUCGUGGAACCCUAACCUUUUUCUGGUUAAGCCUCGAAUUGGUGAGUCAAGGGACGACUCGGUGAGUUAAGCAGGAUGGGACUCUGAGAUUGUUGGACCCGACGAGUCUUGGGGCGACUCCGUGAGUUGAGUCGUAUUAUAGGAGUUUCUGAGCAUAGGAACUCGACAAGUCAACGGGUUGACUCGGCGAGUAGGGUCAACCAGGAAGGUUGACUUUGAUUGACGACUUUGACUUUGAUUAAGGGUUGACCAGUUUGACUUCCAAGGGUAUUUUGGUAAUUAUUGGUAGUUAUUGGAUUUGGCUAAUUGGUAGUGUUCAACGGUGGAGUUCGUUUUGGUGGUCGGAGCAGCGUGAUCUUAUCUCUUCAGUCAGCUAUAGCAAGUGAGUUAUCCUCACUAUAUCGACAAGGUCUAAGGCACCAAUUCCGGCCCUUUAUCGGAUGGGAAUCCGGGUAGUUGUUUGUUAUGUUAUUGAUUUGCUAUGUCUGCAUCCUGGUUGUUAGGAUGGUAUAUGUUAGAGACCUGGUUAAGGUCAGUAUCCUGGUAUAUAGGAUGAUGCUAUGUUAUUGACCGGUUAGGUCGGUAUCCUGGUUAGGAUGUUGUUAUGUUAUGUGAUAUGCUAGAUUGGUUGAUUAGUUGUGAAUUGCUAUAUUAUUAUAUACUUAUGUGCACAUGGUUGUUUGACUGGGGUUGGGUUGAGGCGGGUCCUGCUUUGUGUCGUAGGCCAACAUACCCAGGGCGGACCAGUUAGACCGAAGGCCCGGCGAACGGUGCGGAUAGGCUGAACGCUCCAAGAGGGCGGACCAGACGUGUCGAGGCUCGGAGAGUGGACCAUACAGACUGAAGGCCCGAUGGGGGCGGACCAAUCAUACUGUAGACUCGGAGAGAGAGUGGACCGGGUGGACUGAAGGCCUGGUGUAGGCGGACCAGUCACACUUUAGACUCGAUAUGCACGAUUGUUCUGUUUAUGAUAUGAUAUGAUAUUUCUAUGGUAUUGUGGUUGGUAUUUUGGGGGUAACCCACUAAGCUUUCGGGCUUACAGUUCAAUGUUUUGUUUCAGGCAGUUCAGGAGAUCGUGGCAAGGCGAAGGUGUGAUCGUACCGCUCCUCAUUUUUUAUGAUUUAUGUGAUAUGGUUCUGGGGAAUACUCUGAUGUUAAAACUAUUUUGAAAACGAAUGUAUGAACUUAGUGGUUUUUGAAUGAAUUAAAAUGUUUUAAUUUGGCUCGAAUUUUAUGGGUGUUACAACUGGGCCGAACACUAGGUUUACGGCCGUAAACUCACUACAUGGCCAUAAACACACUAACAAUCUACCAAAAAGAUGAUAAAGACUCAAAAGAACUUAUUACAAUAAAAGCCUAGACCAAACCACUAACUGGACCCUUCACAAGAAUUGAUCCAUGUUGACCGUUUUGAUUUGGUGAUUCUUUAUUGCUUUUUGAUCUUCGUGUUUUAAAGAGUUUUUGGAUUCUAGAAAUCGAAUUAUUCCUAUAGAACAAAACCCUAAACCCAUCUUGGUGCCCUCUCCAUAGAUAACCAGUUCUCCCCCACUUGGAGUUCAAACUGCCAUAUGUCAGCCCUCACAAUUAAUCAUAGCACCAAAACGGAUUCUCAAUCCAUUCCUACAAUCAUGUAGACAUCCCUCAUGGGGAUAGGGAUCAAAUCGAUCAGAUAACGCAACCUAAAAGUCAUCGGGACGCAACCCUCAUAUACCAAUGAUGUAGAAACUCCGUGUUCGUUGGCGAUAGAGACUCGCAACAGACACUCUAACUCCCUAAUGGGCAUAUCAAACUCUCUACUGAAUGAUCGAGAUACAAAAGAAUGACUCGCACCCGAGUCAAACAACACUAGAGCAAGCAAAGAGUUCACUAGGAACGUUCCUAACAGAGGUACAAACAUAAGCCUAACACAAAACAUAAUCAACAGUAUAAAGGAUAGAAUCAUACCAGUCACAACAUUUGGACAUCCUCUAGCCUCCUUGGCGGUAAGCUGGAAAGCACGCCCUCGAGCCCUCUGGGGCUCCGCGCUGCCCUGACUCCCAUUAGUGAUCCUCAAAGUAGCAUGCGCUGGUCUGGCAACAAGCAAAGGACAUUGGGCCUUCAUAUGGCCCACCUGAUCAUAAUGGUAACAAAGUAUGAUGCCAGAAGCUGGAGUCUGCUGCCGACAAUCCCUCGCAAUGUGGCUCUACUUGCCAUAUUUGCGGCAACCCGAAGAAUAUCGGCAAGCCCCAUCAUGCACCUUGCCACACUUCCCACAAGUGCGUACCCUCUGAUUCCCCGACCUAAAAUCAACGACCCUAAACCGCUUCGACAUAGGCUGCAACUGAUGGGUUUUGAGCAUUCUAACACUUCCUAAGUGUACAUGCAACCCUAAUAACCUUGGAUCUAUGUUUGUCUAAUUAUAAUGCAAAGUUGAAUUCCAAGGUUAUAAUCCUAUCUAGCAUACAUGGGGAACAAUUUCUAACUUGAAUGAAAGAUAGAAUAACUUACCUUGUUGUUGCUUAUGUUCCUUGAAACCUUGUGAGCCUAGCACCCCAAGUGUGAUGCCUCAAAUGCUUCACACAACACCAAAUGCUCUUGGAAAGACUUUUGAGAGAAUACACACUUCUUGAAAUCGGCCAAGCCCUCUUGUUUCUUAUGUGUAACCGAUUUUGAUGGAGAAUGGGACUCUUAUAUAGUGUUGACACAUCUAGGGUUACACCAUGUAAACCCUAAUGUGUCAUGACUCUUCAUUUCCAUGACCCAUGGGUUUGUAACUCCCAUGGAGCAUCCAUGGAGCAUCCUAUGGGUAGAACCCAACUUGAUAAUCCAUGGAGCCUCUUAGCCCACUAUACAAGAUAUGAAUGAUUUACAUAAUCAACCCAUAUAUUUAAUUAGUUAUCUUUUGAUCACUUAAUUAAUUCCAAAUUAAUUCUUUGAUCAAACUAAUCAAAUAAUAUUAUUAAUAUAUUAGAACUUAUAAUAU
RNAcentral lists this long non-coding RNA (19114 nucleotides) under Lactuca sativa (garden lettuce). Its description in RNAcentral is "long non-coding RNA (LSAT_LNC009523)". The record is from RNAcentral. Lineage: Eukaryota; Viridiplantae; Streptophyta; Magnoliopsida; Asterales; Asteraceae.